This is a long non-coding RNA of Astyanax mexicanus (Mexican tetra), 620 nucleotides long. RefSeq lists it as uncharacterized. NCBI's taxonomy places the organism in Eukaryota, Metazoa, Chordata, Actinopteri, Characiformes, Acestrorhamphidae. The transcript has 4 exons. The record is from RefSeq and is a predicted model, not a curated record.
CACAGUGCGGAGUCUGCACGGUGUGUAGGUUUCUCUCAGGCGGUCUGAUACAGUGCGGAGCCUGCAUGGUGUUUAGGUCUCUCUCAGGCGGUCCGAUACAAUGCGGAGCCUGCAUGGUGUGUAGGUCUCUUUCAGGCGGUCUGAUACAGUGCGGAGCCUGCACGGUGUUUAGGUCUCUCUCAGGCGGUCCGAAACAGUGCGGAGCCCGCACGGUGUGUAGGUCUCUUUCAGGCGGUCCGAUACAGUGCGGAGCCCGCACGGUGUGUAGGUCUCUUUCAGGCGGUCUGAUUCAGUGCGGAGCCCGCACAGUGUGUAGGUGUCUUUCAGGCGGUCCGAUACAGUGUGGAGCCUACACGGUGUGUAGGUCUCUUUCAGGCGGUCCGAUACAGUGCGGAGACCGCACGGUGUGUAGGUCUCUUUCAGGAGGUCCGAUUCAGUGCGGAGACCACACGGUGUGUAGGUCUCUUUCAGGCGGUCCGAUUCAGUGCGGAGCCCGCAUGGUGUGUAGGUCUCUUUCAGGAGGUCCGAUUCAGUGCGGAGACCACACGGUGUGUAGGUCUCUUUCAGGCGGUCCGAUACAGUGUGUAGCCUGCACAGUGUUUAGGUCUCUCUCAGACAGU